Molecule: long non-coding RNA, 357 nt
Filed under: Ananas comosus (pineapple)
Lineage: Eukaryota; Viridiplantae; Streptophyta; Magnoliopsida; Poales; Bromeliaceae
Description: long non-coding RNA (ACOM_LNC024973)
Source: RNAcentral
AAAAAAAAAAAAACUUCAAAUGCUACACCAGUAAUUUCAUAUCCUUUUAUUUUAGUACUAUAUGUAUCAAGUUAGUGCUUUAUAGUUUUAUUUUUAUCUUUUCGUUAGCUUCUUCGUUAAUAUUUUAUUAAAUUAUAUAUAAAAAAUUUUAGAUACUUCAUAUAGAUUUAUCGAAUAUUCAUUUUAGUACCUUUUAAUUUUAACUUUGUCACUAAUUUAACAAAAAAAAUAAUAAAAAAAUUAUAUGACACUAAAUUAAUAUAUUUUAAAAGUGAUAAAAUAUAAAGCUAUAUCGGCGGUAUUUGAAGUUUUUUCAAAAUGAAAUAAAAAAAAAUUUCUCAAACGAAUCACAAUUCC